This 549-nucleotide ribosomal RNA is filed under the name Chaetomium globosum. RNAcentral's name for it is "eukaryotic LSU rRNA". It matches the Rfam family "Eukaryotic large subunit ribosomal RNA", at positions 58 to 633 of the family's 3401-position model. The record is from RNAcentral. Lineage: Eukaryota; Fungi; Ascomycota; Sordariomycetes; Sordariales; Chaetomiaceae.
AAAGAAACCAACAGGGAUUGCCCUAGUAACGGCGAGUGAAGCGGCAACAGCUCAAAUUUGAAAUCUGGCUUCGGCCCGAGUUGUAAUUUGCAGAGGAAGCUUUAGGCGCGGCACCUUCUGAGUCCCCUGGAACGGGGCGCCAUAGAGGGUGAGAGCCCCGUAUAGUUGGAUGCCUAGCCUGUGUAAAGCUCCUUCGACGAGUCGAGUAGUUUGGGAAUGCUGCUCAAAAUGGGAGGUAAAUUUCUUCUAAAGCUAAAUACCGGCCAGAGACCGAUAGCGCACAAGUAGAGUGAUCGAAAGAUGAAAAGCACUUUGAAAAGAGGGUUAAAUAGCACGUGAAAUUGUUGAAAGGGAAGCGCUUGUGACCAGACUUGCGCCGGGCGGAUCAUCCGGUGUUCUCACCGGUGCACUCCGCCCGGCUCAGGCCAGCAUCGGUUCUCGCGGGGGGAUAAAGGUCCUGGGAACGUAGCUCCUCCGGGAGUGUUAUAGCCCGGGGCGUAAUGCCCUCGCGGGGACCGAGGUUCGCGCAUCUGCAAGGAUGCUGGCGUA